RNAcentral lists this ribosomal RNA (252 nucleotides) under uncultured bacterium. Its description in RNAcentral is "partial 16S ribosomal RNA". It matches the Rfam family "Bacterial small subunit ribosomal RNA", at positions 525 to 776 of the family's 1533-position model. The record is from RNAcentral.
ACGAAGGGGGCUAGCGUUGUUCGGAAUCACUGGGCGUAAAGCGCACGUAGGCGGAUAUGUUAGUUAGGGGUGAAAUCCCGGGGCUCAACCUCGGAACUGCCUCUAAUACUGCAAAUCUAGAGUCCGAGAGAGGUUAGUGGAAUUCCUAGUGUAGAGGUGAAAUUCGUAGAUAUUAGGAAGAACACCAGUGGCGAAGGCGGCUAACUGGCUCGGUACUGACGCUGAGGUGCGAAAGCGUGGGGAGCAAACAGG